This 1976-nucleotide ribosomal RNA is filed under the name Acinetobacter radioresistens. RNAcentral's name for it is "partial 23S ribosomal RNA". It matches the Rfam family "Bacterial large subunit ribosomal RNA", at positions 966 to 2925 of the family's 2925-position model. Lineage: Bacteria; Pseudomonadati; Pseudomonadota; Gammaproteobacteria; Moraxellales; Moraxellaceae. The record is from RNAcentral. RNAcentral also lists the same sequence under 1 other name.
AUGAGUACUAUCCGGGAGACAGACUGCGGGUGCUAACGUCCGUAGUCAAGAGGAAAACAAUCCAGACCGCCAGCUAAGGCCCCAAAAUCAUAGUUAAGUGGGAAACGAUGUGGGAAGGCAUAGACAGCUAGGAGGUUGGCUUAGAAGCAGCCACCCUUUAAAGAAAGCGUAAUAGCUCACUAGUCGAGUCGGCCUGCGCGGAAGAUGUAACGGGGCUAAAACUAUGUGCCGAAGCUGCGGAUGCACAUUUAUGUGCGUGGUAGGGGAGCGUUCUGUAAGCCGAUGAAGGUGGAUUGAGAAGUCUGCUGGAGGUAUCAGAAGUGCGAAUGCUGACGUGAGUAACGACAAAACGGGUGAAAAACCCGUUCGCCGAAAGACCAAGGGUUCCAGUCCAACGUUAAUCGGGGCUGGGUGAGUCGACCCCUAAGGCGAGGCCGAAAGGCGUAGUCGAUGGGAAAUUGGUUAAUAUUCCAAUACUUCUGUGUAAUGCGAUGAGAGGACGGAGAAGGUUAGGUCAGCCUGGCGUUGGUUGUCCAGGUGGAAGACAGUAGGCAUGCAUCUUAGGCAAAUCCGGGGUGCUCUAUGCUGAGAGUCGAUAGCAAGCCAGUUUACUGGCGAAGUGGCCGAUACCAUACUUCCAAGAAAAGUCUCUAAGCUUCAGUUACACAGGAAUCGUACCCGAAACCGACACAGGUGGUCAGGUCGAGUAGACCAAGGCGCUUGAGAGAACUCUGCUGAAGGAACUAGGCAAAAUGGUACCGUAACUUCGGGAGAAGGUACGCUGCUGAUGGUGAUAGGACUUGCUCCUUGAGCUGUCGGCAGCCGCAGAAACCAGGCCGCUGCAACUGUUUAUUAAAAACAUAGCACUCUGCAAACACGAAAGUGGACGUAUAGGGUGUGAUGCCUGCCCGGUGCUGGAAGGUUAAUUGAUGGGGUUAGCGUAAGCGAAGCUCUUGAUCGAAGCCCCAGUAAACGGCGGCCGUAACUAUAACGGUCCUAAGGUAGCGAAAUUCCUUGUCGGGUAAGUUCCGACCUGCACGAAUGGCAUAAUGAUGGCGGCGCUGUCUCCAGCAGAGGCUCAGUGAAAUCGAAAUCGCUGUGAAGAUGCAGUGUACCCGCGGCUAGACGGAAAGACCCCGUGAACCUUUACUGCAGCUUGACACUGAACUUUGACCUUACUUGUGUAGGAUAGGUGGGAGGCUUUGAAGUAGGGACGCCAGUUCCUAUGGAGCCAUCCUUGAAAUACCACCCUGGUAAUGUUGAGGUUCUAACUCUGACCCAUAAUCUGGGUCGAGGACCGUGUCUGGUGGGUAGUUUGACUGGGGCGGUCUCCUCCUAAAGAGUAACGGAGGAGUACGAAGGUGCGCUCAGCGUGGUCGGAAAUCACGCGUAGAGUAUAAAGGCAAAAGCGCGCUUAACUGCGAGACCCACAAGUCGAGCAGGUACGAAAGUAGGUCUUAGUGAUCCGGUGGUUCUGUAUGGAAGGGCCAUCGCUCAACGGAUAAAAGGUACUCUGGGGAUAACAGGCUGAUACCGCCCAAGAGUUCAUAUCGACGGCGGUGUUUGGCACCUCGAUGUCGGCUCAUCUCAUCCUGGGGCUGAAGCAGGUCCCAAGGGUAUGGCUGUUCGCCAUUUAAAGAGGUACGCGAGCUGGGUUUAGAACGUCGUGAGACAGUUCGGUCCCUAUCUACCGUGGGCGCUGGAAAUUUGAGAGGAUCUGCUCCUAGUACGAGAGGACCAGAGUGGACGAACCUCUGGUGUACCGGUUGUGACGCCAGUCGCAUCGCCGGGUAGCUAUGUUCGGAAGGGAUAACCGCUGAAAGCAUCUAAGCGGGAAGCCUACCUCAAGAUAAGAUUUCCCCGUGACUUUAUGUCACCUAAAGAGCCGUUCAAGACCAGGACGUUGAUAGGUUGGAUGUGGAAGCAUAGUGAUAUGUGAAGCUGACCAAUACUAAUUGCUCGUGAGGCUUGACUAU